CAGUAGCCGCGGGAAUACGAAGGGGGCUAGCGUUGUUCGGAUUUACUGGGCGUAAAGGGCGCGUAGGCGGACUGAUAAGUCAGAGGUGAAAUCCCAAGGCUCAACCUUGGAACUGCCUUUGAUACUGUUUGUCUUGAGUUCGAGAGAGGUAAGUGGAACUGCGAGUGUAGAGGUGAAAUUCGUAGAUAUUCGCAAGAACACCAGUGGCGAAGGCGGCUUACUGGCUCGAAACUGACGCUGAGGCGCGAAAGCGUGGGGAGCAAACAGGAUUAGAUACCCCUGUAGUCCCUGUCUCUUAUAC
Molecule: ribosomal RNA, 301 nt
Filed under: uncultured bacterium
Lineage: Bacteria
Description: partial 16S ribosomal RNA
Rfam family: Bacterial small subunit ribosomal RNA
Source: RNAcentral